RNAcentral lists this ribosomal RNA (253 nucleotides) under uncultured bacterium. Its description in RNAcentral is "partial 16S ribosomal RNA". It matches the Rfam family "Bacterial small subunit ribosomal RNA", at positions 524 to 776 of the family's 1533-position model. The record is from RNAcentral.
UACGGGGGGGGCAAGCGUUGUUCGGAAUUACUGGGCGUAAAGCGCGCGUAGGCGGCUUUGUAAGUUAGAGGUGAAAUCCCGGGGCUCAACCCCGGAACUGCAUUGGAUACUGCCUUGCUAGAGUACUGGAGAGGAGACUGGAAUUUACGGUGUAGCAGUGAAAUGCGUAGAGAUCGUAAGGAAGGCCAGUGGCGAAGGCGAGUCUCUGGACAGUAACUGACGCUGAGGCACGAAGGCCAGGGGAGCAAACGGG